AUAAAUAUGAAUUUCAAGCAAAGGUCAAAAUCUAGAACGUCAAAUUUGCCUAUGACCUUGACCUCAAUUUCAAGGUCAUAAACUAAGGACCUCAAGUCAAGAGACCCUAGGUCCAUAAUAUGUAAAGAUAAUGAGUUAUAUCACUUAACGCAUUAUUCUAAAUAUAAAAGGGGAGAAAACUCCCAUUUACAGUCAAUGUACCCUCGAAAUUAAAAUUUAAGUGUUACGACUUGUCACUACUAACAAUUUAGUAAAGAUAAUUUGUCGAUAUCUUUUACGGUUAUUGAAAAUAAGUGAAUAUAAGCCAAAAUCAAAAUUUAGAAAAUGACCUUGACCUUUGACCUUGACCUAAUUUUCAUUUUUUUGGACUAAGGACCUCAAAUCUAAAGACCCUAGGUCUCUAUCACUUAUAGUUUACCAGUUAGAAGUGCAUAUUACUUAUAUCAAACAUAAAAGGGGUGAAAACUCUCAUAUGGAAUCUAUAUACGGCUUCGGUCAAAAUAAAACAGAACAUCCUGAGGAUAUAACGAGCAAUUUGAUAAAAUAAAUUUUUCGGUUUCUUAUACGGUUGCGAAGCCUUAGAGAUCACAAGAAAAACAGUGUUCGGGGAGAUAACUCUUAUAUGGGAAAGUAUUCGGUAAAGCGGUGUCAGUUUCAAAAGCGUAUAUAAACUGUUCAAUAUCACAUUCCAAAUAUCUAAGCGACAUCUUGCGAAACAAAAAAACAGCGAAGAAAAAAAAUUAGGCGGAAGAAAAAAAAAUUAAAUAAUAAUCAGAAGAAAAUCAAUAGGUGUUUCCACGGAAAAGUGGAAAGACCUAAUUACAAAUAAUCAUAUACAAACAACAUGCGUUAUGAUUUACACAGAGACAGUCAAUAAAGACGGGAUCACGACGAAAAGUUCAAUUAUUUACAUAUGUUCUUUACAGUUUGAAGAUAGUUUAUGUACUACUAGCAGCAGUUGUGGUUCUAUAACAAUUUACAAGAAUUGUAAAUAAAGUUCAAACACAUGAAGUUAAACUGUUCACGUUCUUAUUCUUUAGAUCAAAAUCGGUGUCACAGGCAAGAAUACAAUUAAGCAAUUUAUUGCCAGUCAUAUUUCCAAAGUGAACACUAAAUGUAAUCGGGUUCAUGUCUAUAACACUCCUCCAAAAUUGAUCUCGAGCAUCAACUGUAUAGUACAAGGAUCAUCAAAAAGUUUACC
This 1201-nucleotide long non-coding RNA is filed under the name Mytilus galloprovincialis (Mediterranean mussel). Lineage: Eukaryota; Metazoa; Mollusca; Bivalvia; Mytilida; Mytilidae. The record is from RNAcentral.